AGAAAAAAAAACCCCACGUGACGGCUCGCGAUAAAGAGUCGGCUCGCGUCGUUCACGUCAAAGAGUCGGAUCUAAGAGCCAUUUCGUUCGCGAACGACCCAUCACUAGUGCGUGAGGAGGUGCGGCUCUCUCCGUGGAAUAUGAGACAGUCUCGGUGAACAGCAGCUGCUCGGCUGUUUCCGUGUUCGUUACUUUUUUCCUGAACUUUGUGUGAGUGGACCGUCUCCGUGUGAAGCUCCGUGUUCAGGUAGAAAGUGUGUGUGAGCUGAGCAGCAUGGAUCAGUGUGAGGACAGAGAGGAGGGAGCCCCUCCCUCUAAAAGCACUCUGUGUGGGGAACAUGAGAGCCAGACCAAAGCUCAGAGAGUCAGUGGGAGAACCUGUUGGCCUCAUGUCCCCCAGAGGUUUUCUGAAUCCAGCUGUGUGUCUCUGAGGAGUAAUCAAGUCC
Long non-coding RNA from Haplochromis burtoni (Burton's mouthbrooder), 446 nucleotides. RefSeq lists it as uncharacterized. Lineage: Eukaryota; Metazoa; Chordata; Actinopteri; Cichliformes; Cichlidae. The record is from RefSeq and is a predicted model, not a curated record. The transcript is spliced from 3 exons.